GACGAACGCUGGCGGCGUGCUUACCCCAUGCAAGUCGAACGGAAAGGCCCUGCUUUUGUGGGGUGCUCGAGUGGCGAACGGGUGAGUAACACGUGAGUAAUCUGCCCUUGACUUUGGGAUAUCUUGAGGAAACUGGGGCUAAUACCGGCUAGGAGCUCCUGCUGCAUGGUGGGGGUUGGACAGUUUCGGCGGUUGGGGAUGGACUCGCGGCUUAUCAGCUUGUUGGUGGGGUAGUGGCUUACCAAGGCUUUGACGGGUAGCCGGCCUGAGAGGGUGACCGGCCACAUUGGGACUGAGAUGCGGCCCAGACUCCUACGGGAGGCAGCAGUGGGGAAUAUUGCACAAUGGGCGGAAGCCUGAUGCAGCAACGCCGCGUGCGGGAUGACGGCCUUCGGGUUGUAAACCGCUUUCGCCUGUGACGAAGCGUGAGUGGCGGUAAUGGGUAAAGAAGCACCGGCUAACUACGUG
Molecule: ribosomal RNA, 468 nt
Filed under: uncultured bacterium
Lineage: Bacteria
Description: partial 16S ribosomal RNA
Rfam family: Bacterial small subunit ribosomal RNA
Source: RNAcentral